Molecule: ribosomal RNA, 292 nt
Filed under: uncultured bacterium
Lineage: Bacteria
Description: partial 16S ribosomal RNA
Source: RNAcentral
GGACUACACGGGUAUCUAAUCCUUUUUGCUCCCCACGCUUUCGCAUCUCAGUGUCAGGAAGGUCCCAGUGCACUGCCUUCGCCUUUGGUGUUCCCCACGAUAUCAACGGAUUUCACCCCUACACCGUGAGUUCCAUGCACCUCUAACCUCCUCUAGUCUUGUCGUAUCUCCUGCACUUCCAGGGUUAGGCCCUGGGCUUUAACAGAAGACGCACAAAACCACCUACAUGCUCUUUACGCCCAAUAAAUCCGAAUAACGCUUGAGGUCUACGUAUUACCGCGGCUGCUGGCAC